Chenopodium quinoa (quinoa) is the source of this 825-nucleotide RNA transcript. It is a transcript of the gene named universal stress protein Slr1101-like, with no coding region annotated. Lineage: Eukaryota; Viridiplantae; Streptophyta; Magnoliopsida; Caryophyllales; Amaranthaceae. The record is from RefSeq and is a predicted model, not a curated record. The transcript has 5 exons.
CAUAGGCAGUGACGUGAAGUAUUUAAAUAUCAGCAAGCAGUUGAAACUAGCAAUUCAAAUAGUACCAAAUUUUGUGUUCCUUCGACUUAUACAAGUUCCAAAUAUUUGUUCUUAUCUUAUCUAAAAACAAGAAUUGAAAAUGGCAGAGGAAGCAGAAGCAGCAGCAGCAGCAGCAGAGAAGAAUCAAAAUGGAAAGAUGAUCGUAGCAGUUGAUGAGAGUGGGUGUAGCAGUUAUGCUCUGAAAUGGGCGUUACAAAAUCUGGGCGAUAAACUCAAAUCUGGUGUUAUUCUUUUUACGGCCGUUUCUGUUACACAAAGUGGUGUUUUUGCUGGUGGUUACGGCACUGUUCCUCUUGAUCUGGUAACAACAAUCCAACAGAAUCAAAAAAAGUUUGCAACUUCUCUCCUUACGAAAGCUAAGGAAAUAUGUGCACAAUAUGGGGUUGAUGCUGAGACACUGUGUGUGAUGGGAAAUCCAAAAGAUGCGAUUUGUGAUGCAGUGGAGAAGUUUCAUUGUAAUUUACUUGUUAUGGGCACUCAUAGUCGAGGAGCUCUACAAAGGGCGUUUCUUGGAAGUGUUAGCAACUACUGCAUUCAUCAUGCUAAGUGUCCUGUUCUUGUAGUAAGGAAACGAGUCUGAAGGAAAUCUACGGUUUGCUGUUAUUGUAAAUAAGUAGCUAUGUUGUAAUAGCAUGUUAUGAUAAACUACCGGAGGUAGUAAAUGAAAUAAAAUACUUCCAUAUUUCUGAAAUAAUUAGCCACAUGUGAAUAUAUGAUUGUUUUCAUGUCUAUAAAAGGGACUCCCUUAGUUUUUUACUCUUUUAA